GUUUUCCCUGCGCGUCGCGUAAAAACGUGCCAGGUUCUGCUUGCUGGAACCGUCUAAAACAACCGGAACCCCGGAUUUUCGCUUGCAGAUUCUUGAGGAAGUUUUAUAAUAAAUUCGGAGACCUGGAACAAGCCCUAGUGGUUGGAUUUUUUAUCAAGCAGAAAUGCAUCGAACAACGAGAAUCAAGAUCACUGAGCUAAAUCCCCACCUGAUGUGUGUGCUUUGUGGAGGGUACUUCAUUGAUGCCACAACCAUAAUAGAAUGUCUACAUUCCUGUAAGUACCGAGCUUUAGCUCUCUUUUGUAUCAUGCGUAUUUCACAGUUCGACCUGGAAUUUGAAAACUAUUAAUGAUUCCUGCAAUCUGUGGAAAUGUUGGUACAAAGUGGUGAAGUCAUUUUCUUCUCUUGCAUCUAAUGACUUUUUGUUAAUAUGUAUUGAUUGUAUUACAAGCAUGCAAUAUAUGUGUUCUCAGGAUAUGAAUUAGCUUAUUUAGUUGGAAAUGCCUUUCACCAUCUUGUUUUCUACUAGUUCUGGGUUUCUAACA
Molecule: small RNA, 545 nt
Filed under: Pan troglodytes (chimpanzee)
Lineage: Eukaryota; Metazoa; Chordata; Mammalia; Primates; Hominidae
Description: retained intron
Source: RNAcentral